GUCGCAAGUCCAGGAGUUUGCUGGAAGUCCGCAGGAGGAUCACCGAGGGUUCGUCGGAUGAUCGACGGAAGUUCGCCGGAAACUCGCCGGAAGAAGCGAUUGACGCACCGGAGAAAGCUGCAGAAUAUGUCUUAGGAAAUAAUCGUAGUUAGCACAUUGAUUAAGUUAGAAAUGGGAGGUGAUCCCAUUAGCUUAAUCUUGGGGCAAUUGG
RNAcentral lists this long non-coding RNA (211 nucleotides) under Musa acuminata (dwarf banana). RNAcentral describes it as "long non-coding RNA (MACU_LNC005859)". Lineage: Eukaryota; Viridiplantae; Streptophyta; Magnoliopsida; Zingiberales; Musaceae. The record is from RNAcentral.